This 500-nucleotide ribosomal RNA is filed under the name uncultured bacterium. RNAcentral's name for it is "partial 16S ribosomal RNA". It matches the Rfam family "Bacterial small subunit ribosomal RNA", at positions 30 to 523 of the family's 1533-position model. The record is from RNAcentral.
AUUGAACGCUGGCGGCAUGCUUUACACAUGCAAGUCGAACGGCAGCACGGGAGCAAUCCUGGUGGCGAGUGGCGAACGGGUGAGUAAAGUAUCGGAACGUGCCCAGUCGUGGGGGGUAACGUAGCGAAAGUUACGCUAAUACCGCAUACGAUCUAUGGAUGAAAGCGGGGGAUCGCAAGACCUCGCGCGAUUGGAGCGGCCGAUAUCAGAUUAGGUAGUUGGUGGGGUAAAGGCUCACCGAGCCGACGAUCUGUAGCUGGUCUGAGAGGACGACCAGCCACACUGGGACUGAGACACGGCCCAGACUCCUACGGGAGGCAGCAGUGGGGAAUUUUGGACAAUGGGCGAAAGCCUGAUCCAGCCAUGCCGCGUGCAGGAUGAAGGCCUUCGGGUUGUAAACUGCUUUUGUACGGAACGAAAAGGUUUGGGCUAAUAAGCUGAGCUCAUGACGGUACCGUAAGAAUAAGCACCGGCUAACUACGUGCCAGCCGCCGCCGUAA